This 492-nucleotide ribosomal RNA is filed under the name uncultured bacterium. RNAcentral describes it as "partial 16S ribosomal RNA". It matches the Rfam family "Bacterial small subunit ribosomal RNA", at positions 29 to 507 of the family's 1533-position model. The record is from RNAcentral.
AGUGAACGCUGGCGGUAGGCCUAACACAUGCAAGUCGAACGGCAGCACAGUAAGAGCUUGCUCUUACGGGUGGCGAGUGGCGGACGGGUGAGGAAUACAUCGGAAUCUACUUUUUCGUGGGGGAUAACGUAGGGAAACUUACGCUAAUACCGCAUACGACCUACGGGGGAAAGCAGGGGAUCUUCGGACCUUGCGCGAUUGAAUGAGCCGAUGUCGGAUUAGCUGGUUGGCGGGGUAAAGGCCCACCAAGGCGACGAUCCGUAGCUGGUCUGAGAGGAUGAUCAGCCACACUGGAACUGAGACACGGUCCAGACUCCUACGGGAGGCAGCAGUGGGGAAUAUUGGACAAUGGGCGCAAGCCUGAUCCAGCCAUACCGCGUGGGUGAAGAAGGCCUUCGGGUUGUAAAGCCCUUUUGUUGGGAAAGAAAAGCAGCAGGUUAAUACCCCGCUGUUCUGACGGUACCCAAAGAAUAAGCACCGGCUAACUUCGUG